RNAcentral lists this non-coding RNA (62 nucleotides) under unclassified sequences. The record is from RNAcentral.
CGAUAAAAGAGUUGCAGGGUGGUGUCUCCUGCGCCCGCACCGCGGGUUCUUCCCAGCCACGG